Molecule: long non-coding RNA, 1294 nt
Filed under: Populus tremula
Lineage: Eukaryota; Viridiplantae; Streptophyta; Magnoliopsida; Malpighiales; Salicaceae
Description: long non-coding RNA (PTRE_LNC000602)
Source: RNAcentral
UUGAUAGCAAUAAGCAAAUUAGUUGUGGUACCAAUGAGGGAAGUUAACUAAAUCAAGAUCAAACUUUAAUCCAAAAAAAGAACUUUGAACUUACAUGUGGCAUGCCUUGAGCCAGUUUAUUCUUCAUGUUACAUGUAUCCACAAUAAAGUCAUAUUAAGGUAAUUUUGACAGAUUUUCAUAAAUUUCCUAUGUUAAAUAGGAAAACUAAUCCUAAUAAUAGUAAGAGGUGGAAAAAAAAUAUCUAAUCCCAAUGUGAACAGAAAAACCUAGUAAAAAGAAAUACACUAUAUUCCUAUAGUAACGACUACAUAGUGAAUAAUAAUAUUCCUAAGUAGUACUAGAUAUCUAUGACAAUCAUACAAAAUUAACAUUCCUACACAUUGGGCUAGUUUCUGAUAUAUUUGUUCUUCUUUCCCCAUCACCUCUACUAUAAAAUUUAAUCACCAUGAAGAAAUAGGUAUGCACUGGGAUCCAUGCUUUAGGGAUGCAUAUAGGAGCCAGGGGUGGACAAACCUAAGUUGGCUAAAAGAACCUUCUUUUAAGGAUCCUGAAACAUUUUUCCAGCAUCGUUUUUACAUAAUGCCUACCUCAAACUAUAAGUUUUAAACUUCAGCCUCAUUCCUUUCAGGAACCUACAAUGCUCUUCUCAUUUUUCUUUUUUACAUAACAGCCCCUCAGACUACAAGCGUUACACUCCAACCCUCAAACCCAAGAACCUAUACAUGUCUCUGUCUUCAUGCAAAGUCCAAACAAGUUUGCACAUGAAAGGAUGUGUUACAGUAUUAAUAUUGACAGGCUCUUAGUAGUUCGAGUAUUUAGGUUACUGGUUCUCCUUUACAAACAUUAACAAGAUGUAUUCACACACUUAUGUGUUCUCAGGCUUCAAAACAGCCACUUUCACAAAAUUGUCAAAGAUUAAAACAUUAAUCAUAAUUUCCUUCUCAAAACCUACAUCAACAGGGUUAUAAUUGAACAGCAACUGCUUUUUUUUUUUUUUUGUUGUUGUAAAUAUAGGUAUAGUUGCGCGCAGGCACAAUAGAUAAAUAGUGCACUACAUGAAUUUUUGACAUGAGAUUGCUCUAACACAGAAUCUUAAACCCACCCUUCCAUGUCAGAUUAUGAAAGCACAUGCAGUAAUAUUCAACAAUCAAGAACAUUAUAUAUGCAUACAAAAGAGAUUUCAACAAUCAAGAACAUUAUAUAUGCAUACAGAAGAGAUACUGAGCAAGCACACCUGAAGUGCUUCAGCAUCAGUUGUCAUCAAGUUGGUUAUUUUUCCAGAUGCAAACUUCC